AAUAGCGGCUGCACCAUUAGGGUGUCCUGAUCCAACAUCGAGGUCGUAAACCCCCUCGUUGAUAAGGGCUCUGGGAGGGGAUUGCGCUGUUAUCCCUAGGGUAACUCGGUCCGUUGAUCGGCAUUGCCGGCUCUUUUGGUGGUCAGAAGUACUGUUGAUUUGACUCGGGGGUCUGGGUUUUAAGGCUAUUGUGGCCUUGGUCCAUGUGGGGGUUUUGUUUUUCCCCGCGGUCGCCCCAACCGAAGACAUUUCGGCGAAGUUCAUUUUGUUCGUUUCCUUUUAGAGGGGUUUUUGACGUGGGUCGCUUUAUGUCUUAAGCUCCAUAGGGUCUUCUCGUCUUACGAGGGUAUCCCCGCUUCUGCACGGGGAGAUCAAUUUCAUUGACCUUAAAGGGGAGACAGCUAAGCCCUCGUGGUGCCUUUCAUACAGGUCUCCAUUUAAGAGACAAGUGAUUGCGCUACCUUUGCACGGUCAGAAUACCGCGGCCGUUGAACAUAUAGUCACUGGGCAGGCGGGACCUCUUAUUUGUUCGUUUUGCAAGAGGCGAUGUUUUUGGUAAACAGGCGAGGCUUGUGUUUGCCGAGUUCCUUCCCUUUGUUUAAGUCUUUCCGGGCAUGCACACCUGUGUUGGGUUAACGGUUAGUUAUGUUGAGGUUUCUUGGUAUCUGUGUAGUAUUACAUAGCCCUCGGUUGGGGGCCGUUAGUCGUCGGCGGUUGGUCCGUUCCGACUUACACGUGUGCAGAGGAGAGGAGUAGGCUCCUCUUAUUACUCAUUUUAGCAGGGUCUUUCCCAGGGUUAAUGGGAGGGUCUGAUAGUAGGUGGGGAGUGAGGAGGUUGAUUCGGUAUUAAGGGUUGGAUUUUGUAUGAGCUUUAACGCUUUCUUUGUAGGUGGCUGCUUUUAGGCCCACUAAAACAAGUUUCCUUGGGUUGAUUAUGAUCUUUAGUCUCCCGGUGAGGUUGUGUCCUUUUUCAAAGGGGCUGUACCCUCUUUGACUAACUCUCUCGGUCACACUUUGUCUUGGGAGACAUAAUGUCUUGGAUGGGGGAGCCGGGAGGCUGAACUCAUAUACACUUUUCAGACAACCAGCUAUAACUAGGCUCGAUAGGUUUGUCACCUCUACUUGAAGAUCGUCCCACUCUUUUGCAACAGAGACGGGUUUGCCCAGCAUAGGCUGUCUUGAAGUAGCUCGUCUAGUUUCGGGGUGCUGAACUAAAGUUCCCUUCGCUCAGGCAUACUGGCUAGAUCAUGAUGCAAAAGGUA
RNAcentral lists this ribosomal RNA (1262 nucleotides) under Diaphus luetkeni. Its description in RNAcentral is "partial 16S ribosomal RNA". Lineage: Eukaryota; Metazoa; Chordata; Actinopteri; Myctophiformes; Myctophidae. The record is from RNAcentral.